GACGAACGCUGGCGGCGUGCUUAACACAUGCAAGUCGAACGAAGAGCGAUGGAAGCUUGCUUCUAUCAAUCUUAGUGGCGGACGGGUGAGUAACGCGUAAUCAACCUGCCCUUCAGAGGGGGACAACAGUUGGAAACGACUGCUAAUACCGCAUACGAUCUAAUCUCGGCAUCGAGGAUAGAUGAAAGGUGGCCUCUACAUGUAAGCUAUCACUGAAGGAGGGGAGUGCGUCUGAUUAGCUAGUUGGCGGGGUAAGGGCCCACGCAGGCGAUGAUCAGUAGCCGGUCGGAGAGGAUGGACGGCCACAUUGGGACUGAGACCCGGCCCAUACUCCUACGGGAGGCAGCCGUGGGGAUUCUUCCGCAAUGGACGAAAGUCUGACGGAGCAACGCCGCGUGAGUGAUGACGGCCUUCGGGUUGUAAAGCUCUGUUAAUCGGGACGAAAGGCCUUCUUGCGAAUAGUGAGAAGGAUUGACGGUACCGGAAUAGAAAGCCACGGCUAACUACGUG
RNAcentral lists this ribosomal RNA (510 nucleotides) under uncultured bacterium. RNAcentral describes it as "partial 16S ribosomal RNA". It matches the Rfam family "Bacterial small subunit ribosomal RNA", at positions 28 to 507 of the family's 1533-position model. The record is from RNAcentral.